CGAGAUUCAACCGGUGGCAACACCGGAGAAGAUCUAGUGGCGAACGGGUGAGUAACACGUGAGGAACCUGCCCCGAAGUCCGGGAUAAGCCCUCGAAAGGGGGUCUAAUACCGGAUGUCCCCAUCAGGUCGCAUGGCCGGAUGAGGAAAGGAUUCCGCUUCGGGAGGGCCUCGCGGCCUAUCAGCUUGUUGGUGAGGUAACGGCUCACCGAGGCUCCGACGGGUAGCUGGUCUGAGAGGACGAUCAGCCACACUGGGACUGAGACACGGCCCAGACUCCUACGGGAGGCAGCAGUGGGGAAUCUUGCGCAAUGGGCGAAAGCCUGACGCAGCAACGCCGCGUGCGGGAUGACGGCCUUCGGGUUGUAAACCGCUUUCAGUGGGGACGAAACCAGACGGUACCCACAGAAGAAGCCCCGGCCAACUACGUGCCAGCAGCCGCGGUAACACGUAGGGGGCGAGCGUUGUCCGGAAUCAUUGGGCGUAAAGAGCUCGUAGGCGGCUCAGUAAGUCGGGUGUGAAACCCUCAGGCUCAACCUGGGGACGCCACCCGAUACUGCUGUGGCUAGAGUCCAGUAGAGGAGUGUGGAAUUCCCGGUGUAGCGGUGAAAUGCGCAGAUAUCGGGAGGAACACCAACGGCGAAGGCAGCACUCUGGGCUGGAACUGACGCUGAGGAGCGAAAGCGUGGGUAGCAAACAGGAUUAGAUACCCUGGUAGUCCACGCCGUAAACGUUGGGCACUAGGUGUGGGGACCCUCCAACGGUUUCCGUGCCGUAGCUAACGCAUUAAGUGCCCCGCCUGGGGAGUACGGCCGCA
This 816-nucleotide ribosomal RNA is filed under the name uncultured Actinomycetes bacterium. RNAcentral describes it as "bacterial SSU rRNA". It matches the Rfam family "Bacterial small subunit ribosomal RNA", at positions 63 to 890 of the family's 1533-position model. The record is from RNAcentral. Lineage: Bacteria; Bacillati; Actinomycetota; Actinomycetes.